Molecule: ribosomal RNA, 433 nt
Filed under: uncultured bacterium
Lineage: Bacteria
Description: partial 16S ribosomal RNA
Rfam family: Bacterial small subunit ribosomal RNA
Source: RNAcentral
AACGAACGCUGGCGGCAUGCCUAACACAUGCAAGUCGAACGAGACCUUCGGGUCUAUUGGCGCACGGGUUCGUAACGCGUGGGAACCUUCCCUUAGGUUUGGAAUAACUCCCCGAAAGGGGUGCUAAUACCGGAUAAUGUCUUCGGACCAAAGAUUUAUCGCCCUUGGAUGGUCCCUCGUUGGAUUAGCUAGUUGGUAGGGUAAAAGCAUACUAAGGGGACGAUCCAUAGAUUGGUUGUGAGGAAGGUCAGCCACACUGAGACUGAGACACGGCCCAGACUCCUACGGGAGGCGGCAGUGGGGGAUGUAGCACAGUGGGGGAAGGCCUGAUCCAGCACUGCCGCGUGAGUGAUGAAGGCCUUAGGGUUGUAAAGCUCUUUUACCCGGGAUGAUAAUGACGGUACCGAGAGAAUAAGCUCCGGCUAACUACGUG